CUGUUUAACGGCCGCGGUAUCCUGACCGUGCAAAGGUAGCAUAAUCAUUUGUUCUCUAAAUAAGGACUUGUAUGAAUGGCCACACGAGGGUUUUACUGUCUCUUACUUCCAAUCCGUGAAAUUGACCUUCCCGUGAAGAGGCGGGAAUACACAAAUAAGACGAGAAGACCCUAUGGAGCUUUAACUAACCAGCCCAAAGAAAAUAAACUUAACCAUUAAGGAGUAACAAUAAUCUCCAUGAGUUGGUAGUUUCGGUUGGGGUGACCUCGGAGAAUAAAAAAUCCUCCGAACGAUUUUAAAGACUAGACCCACAAGUCAAAUCAUUCAAUCGCUCAUUGAUCCAAAAACUUGAUCAACGGAACAAGUUACCCUAGGGAUAACAGCGCAAUCCUAUUCAAGAGUCCAUAUCGACAAUAGGGCUUACGACCUCGAUGUUGGAUCAGGACAUCCUGAUGGUGCAACCGCUAUCAAAGGUUCGUUUGUUCAACGAUUAAAGUCCUA
This 501-nucleotide ribosomal RNA is filed under the name Bos gaurus (gaur). Its description in RNAcentral is "partial 16S ribosomal RNA". It matches the Rfam family "Bacterial large subunit ribosomal RNA", at positions 1920 to 2598 of the family's 2925-position model. Lineage: Eukaryota; Metazoa; Chordata; Mammalia; Artiodactyla; Bovidae. The record is from RNAcentral.